CUAAGCAUGAAGCCCCCCUCAAGAUGAGAUUUCCCUUGGAGUUAAUCCAGUAAGACCCCUUAAAGAUGAUGAGGUUGAUAGGUCUCGGGUGGAAGCACGGUGACGUGUGGAGCUGAGAGAUACUAAUCGGUCGAGGACUUAUCCUAAA
This is a ribosomal RNA of 148 nucleotides. It matches the Rfam family "Bacterial large subunit ribosomal RNA", at positions 2781 to 2925 of the family's 2925-position model.